GACGAACGCUGGCGGCGUGCUUAACACAUGCAAGCCGAACGGAAAGGCCCUGCUUGCAGGGUACUCGAGUGGCGAACGGGUGAGUAACACGUGGGUGAUCUGCCCUGCACUUCGGGAUAAGCCUGGGAAACUGGGUCUAAUACCGGAUAGGAGCCAUUUUUAGUGUGAUGGUUGGAAAGUUUUUUCGGUGUAGGAUGAGCUCGCGGCCUAUCAGCUUGUUGGUGGGGUAAUGGCCUACCAAGGCGGCGACGGGUAGCCGGCCUGAGAGGGUGGACGGCCACAUUGGGACUGAGAUACGGCCCAGACUCCUACGGGAGGCAGCAGUGGGGAAUAUUGCACAAUGGGCGCAAGCCUGAUGCAGCGACGCCGCGUGGGGGAGGACGGCCUUCGGGUUGUAAACUCCUUUCGCUAGGGACGAAGCUUUUUGUGACGGUACCUAGAGAAGAAGCACCGGCUAACUACGUG
This 465-nucleotide ribosomal RNA is filed under the name uncultured bacterium. Its description in RNAcentral is "partial 16S ribosomal RNA". It matches the Rfam family "Bacterial small subunit ribosomal RNA", at positions 28 to 507 of the family's 1533-position model. The record is from RNAcentral.